GCCGGCUUUCGGGUCGGCUAUGGCGAUAAAUGAGCGGUGUAAUAAACCUAUUGGACCCGGGGGCGGUACCCGGCGCCUCCACCAAAAACCGGCGGUCUUAAAGGCCGGCUUUUGAUGGGGGCGAAACAGGAUCGACAAGGGUGUAAAGAUCGUCUUUUUGCUCGGCAUUGUACCGCCGUUAUCGGGCUAAAAUUGUAGUUGCAAACGACAACUAUGCGGAAGCUCGUCUCGCUGCUUAAUCGCGGUGUGACACUUCAAUCAAAGUCCUAGUGGUUCGCACCUCUAGGCGGGGUCCGAAGGCACCUGGCAACAGAAGCCUUCACC
This 324-nucleotide transfer-messenger RNA is filed under the name Rhizobiaceae. RNAcentral describes it as "Rhizobium leguminosarum_L Permuted(alpha) tmRNA". It matches the Rfam family "Alphaproteobacteria transfer-messenger RNA", at positions 40 to 355 of the family's 355-position model. From Rfam's summary of the family: Bacterial tmRNA, also known as 10Sa RNA or SsrA, is named for its dual tRNA and mRNA-like properties. Its role is to liberate the mRNA from a stalled ribosome. To accomplish this part of the tmRNA is used as a reading frame that ends in a translation stop signal. RNAcentral also lists the same sequence under 2 other names. Lineage: Bacteria; Pseudomonadati; Pseudomonadota; Alphaproteobacteria; Hyphomicrobiales. The record is from RNAcentral.